RNAcentral lists this ribosomal RNA (2408 nucleotides) under Triticum aestivum (bread wheat). Its description in RNAcentral is "partial small subunit ribosomal RNA". The record is from RNAcentral. Lineage: Eukaryota; Viridiplantae; Streptophyta; Magnoliopsida; Poales; Poaceae.
GGCCUCCUUCCUAUUCUUUCGUCGAUCUCCCUCGACUUGGGCUUCGUACAUCGAGAUCGAGAGAGGCUCUUACCUGCGAGGCUGGGAGAGAGCAGUCAGGCGGCGGCGGUGGCUCGAAGCACAGUCAGGCGGUGGCGGCUAGCGCGACGCCCGCAGCCACCUCACGUUCCCUCGAUCUUCAUCCUAUUAGCUUUCGCCACCGUCACGCCGGUCCAGGCCCUGCCUCUGCCUGAGGCCACGCUAGGGCGCCGCCACCCACCUCACCCCCUUUGCACACCCAAUCUCUCUUUCAGAUCCAGAUCCAGGCUGCUCAUCGGUGUGGAUCCCCAGCCGAAGCAUGAACAUCGAUCCAGGCAGACCUCCUCUCCGAAUUCAGCCACUGGGGCAUGGCUCCCCUGCGGUUUGAAUCUGGGCGCUCGUCAACAGAGCAACCAGAGAGGUGAGCUCUGGCUUUGGAUGCGUGGAGGGUAGGGGCCAGAGCCACCACGGCAGCCACGAGAGCGACAUGGGCCUGCCAUGCUCGUCAACGACUUCCUCGAGAGCGGCGAUGGAGGUGGAGACUCGCGCAGCAGCAGCGACGGCGAGCCCGACGGUCCCGACCUCACCCACGCAUUGCUGUUCACAACCAUGGCUUACCCCCCACAUCGUGUUCGUCUGCUAGGCAUGUUGGUUAGGUAGCUGGCUCUGCUUCAGAAUCUCUGAUCAGUACAUGUUGGAGGAACAUCUCUGCAAUCACAUGUAUAGCAGUCGCUUACCAGUAUAUAUUUUGGGUAGCAGCUACUCCCUCUGUUCCUAAAUAUUUGUGUUUCUAGAGAUUUCAACAAGUGACUACAUACGGAGCAAAAUGAGUGAAUAUACACUCUAAAAUAUGUCUAUAUACAUCCGUAUGUGAUAGUUCAUUUGAAAUCUCUAAAAAGACAAAUAUUUAGGAACGGAGGGAGUACUUUCGAGUAAAUUGUUGGUAUAUAGUAAGUACAGUGCUGCUAUCCCGUUUUGCUCAGAAUUUACUCUGUAGAACCACAGUGCAUGAUAACAUGAACAAAAAUAUUGAUAUAUGUGGCAUGUUGAUUUUACUCCAUGACCACAGGGGAGAACAAAAAUAGAUGUACAAGCAAGCUGAAAACAAGAAGGAAAUUGAGUUGCUUUCCAUGGUUCACUCACCAUUGUUCUCAAUCCAUAAGACAGAGCUUCAGGCUUGGUUCAAAAUCACAUCCAUGCUUAGUUUCUUACCAUCUACUUAUUGCUUGGUUAUUUAUCUGUCUAUUUUAUUGUUAUACUAGCAGACAUUCUCACAAAUCUUGCCCAAUGUUUUGACAUUUUCAGUACCUUUUCAUUGGCUAUUUCUUUGAAGCUUGAAUUACAAAAAGGAUAAAGGAGAAAUAUUGUGUACCAUGGUAUGAUAUAAUAUACCAGUUCCAUGAUAUGUGGUAAAUUUCCAUGGAAAUUGCCUAGAGUUUCUCAUCUUCGGUAAUGCUGGCAGAGAGUGGGAGCACAAAAUCGUUUGGAGAUUUAUGAUGUGAGAUCUAAUAUAUAAAUCUUUAUAUAUUCAUCUUUUCUUAGUUAACCUGCUUUUCGGAACAAAUUGUCAUAAUACAUGUAGGAAAAAUAUAUGUGCAAGGAUAUGAAUUGUCCAAGCUCAGGCCACUGCUGGACAAGGUACUCACCUACUUUGAGGCAUGCAUCUGGCAAGGUGUUCAUUGGUGUGGAACUCUGGCAUCCGGCAAGGUGUUCAUUGGGGCAGGGAUCGAUGGAGACGAAGUUGUGCAUGACGAAAUCCCUGAAGUGGCCCCUAGAUACUGCUGAAUGACCGGGUCACAGGCGGCAUCCAUCCAAUCUCGCCGUUCUGCCGACUUAGCAGGAACACUAUCCGCUCGUGCUCCACCCUUCACCGGAACUCCGUCUGACCAUGCUUCACCCGAGAUAUGUACUACAGUUUCAGAAGAUAAUUAAUACCCAAUGCAUAGCUUCUCUGUUGCCCAAUGUACCACAACUUAUUAUGCAAUCCAGUUCUGCACCACUGGAGCAUUAUUAUUUAUGUAAUAAUGCUUCUACUUUCUGCAGAAGCGACAAUAAAACUUCUCUUGAGAAUCUAGCACAUAAGGCAAUUGUAUGCUGGGUUUUAGACAUAGACAAUGCAGCUGGGAAUAUUAAUCGUAUGUUGGGUUUCAGACAUAGGCAAUGCAGCGACCUAGAAUUGACUUGAAGUUGUUUCUUUUGCUGAGGUAGGACGUAGGAAACAUGCAGCUUGAACCAGAGCAGAAAAAUGUACUGCAAUUUGGUUGCAUCUUUAAUAUAUGUCUAGAGGUAUAAUGUAUAUGUAGUAGGUGCGGUUCUGUUGCUUCUUUUAUUUUCUUUUACAUAGUCUAUUGACUGGUAGCAGGAUGAGAGGGAAGUUAGCAAGUCACCAG